Molecule: ribosomal RNA, 465 nt
Filed under: uncultured bacterium
Lineage: Bacteria
Description: partial 16S ribosomal RNA
Rfam family: Bacterial small subunit ribosomal RNA
Source: RNAcentral
CCUACGGGUGGCAGCAGUGGGGAAUUUUGCGCAAUGCUCGUAAGAGUGACGCAGCGACGCCGCGUGAAUGACGAAGGCCUUCGGGUCGUAAAGCUCUUUCGACAGGGAAGAAAAUGCCUAUAAGUAACUGUGUAUGUAUUGACGGUACCUGUAUAAGCAGCCCCGGCUAACUCCGUGCCCGCAGCCGCGGUAAUACGGAGGGGGCGGGCGUUGUUCGGAGUGACUGGGCGUAAAGAGCACGUAGGCGGUGUUGUAAGUCAUUAGUCAAAGACUAGAGCUCAACUUUAGUAAGGCUAGUGAUACUAUAAUACUAGAGUAUGAGAGAAGAAUGCAGAAUGCGUGGUGUAGCGGUGAAAUGCGUAGAUAUCAGGCAGAAUACCGUUAGCGAAGGCGGCAAUCUGGCUGCAAACUGACGCUGAGGUGCGAAAGCGUGGGUAGCGAACAGGAUUAGAUACCCUUGUAGUC